Molecule: ribosomal RNA, 472 nt
Filed under: uncultured bacterium
Lineage: Bacteria
Description: partial 16S ribosomal RNA
Rfam family: Bacterial small subunit ribosomal RNA
Source: RNAcentral
GACGAACGCUGGCGGCGUGCUUAACACAUGCAAGUCGAACGCUUAAGCUUGGUGCUUGCACUGGGUGGAUGAGUGGCGAACGGGUGAGUAAUACGUGAGUAACCUGCCCUUGACUCUGGGAUAAGCCUGGGAAACUGGGUCUAAUACUGGAUACGACAUGCCACUGCAUGGUGGUGUGUGGAAAGGGUUUUACUGGUUUUGGAUGGGCUCACGGCCUAUCAGCUUGUUGGUGGGGUAAUGGCCUACCAAGGCGACGACGGGUAGCCGGCCUGAGAGGGUGACCGGCCACACUGGGACUGAGACACGGCCCAGACUCCUACGGGAGGCAGCAGUGGGGAAUAUUGCACAAUGGGCGGAAGCCUGAUGCAGCGACGCCGCGUGAGGGAUGACGGCCUUCGGGUUGUAAACCUCUUUCAGCACGGAAGAAGCGAGAGUGACGGUACGUGCAGAAGAAGCGCCGGCUAACUACGUG